CUUGCACUCAACAACAGCUUCAGCUGCCCGCCUAGGCUUGUUUUUUCGCCUGCUUCCAUUUUGUCGAAAUCCAAUACUAACUAUUGAAUCAUCAGAACUCAAUUUGGUUCCAACACCAUUUCCCUCUUUUGCUGAAUCUGUAUUUUCUUUGGUAUGUGCAGGCCUCUUCCUCUUGCGUCCAUUUUCCAUGGCAGCCUGAUUUUUCACAUCUUCAGAAGAAAUGGAAUCCUUUGCAUCCUUGCCAUCUUCUUGUAUCUCCACAGUUUCUUCUUCUUCUUCAUUGUCAUCCUUCAAUGGUUUUGUUGGCCUUCCUCUUCUUCUAUAAGCAGGAGCUUUUUCUUCUUCACCACUGCCAGGAUCUUCAUGUGAAGCAAUAACAGUCUGCUUCUUCGCUUUCCCUCUUCCCCUUCCCAUUGUCUGAAGUUAUUUGAAGUUGCUUGAAAGAAGAACAACUAAAGAUUCCUGCAAAUAUGACCAGAUAGAGUCCAAAAUCAUCAGUCAAAACAAAAAUGAACAGCAAAAUUAUAAAGCUCGUAAAACCACAAUAUAAACCAUUUUGCCACAACCAAAAAGGAUAAGAAAUUCAAUAUGACAUCAACUGAUAAUGAGAGCUAUUCAUCAUAUGAGCCAAACCUAAGGAUCUGUUUGGAUGAGGGCGAGGGAGGAAUAAAUAAAAGUAAGGAGUAACAAUUAAUUAUUUUAUUCUUGUUUUGAAAAGAGGUGAGUUAACAGAAAGAGAGGUGAGUUAUGGGAGAUAAGGGCAAAUAAGGGUAAGCCUUUCCCUCUCUUAUCCCUCAAAUCUCAAUUUUUUUUUUAUACUCCAUAUAUAUGAUAUAUACCCUUACCCCUCAAAUCUCAAUUUCUUUUAUACUCCAUAUAUAUAUGGUAUAUAUGGGAUGUAAGAGGGUAAAGAAGAAGAGAGUAUAAUUACAAAUAUUUCUAUUUCUACACCUCUUAAUUUUUCUUCUCCUUCACCUCUUCCCAGACAUGAAGAAUAUACAAUUUUUUCUCUACUUAACCUCUUCUCAGAAAUGAAAAAUAUAUAUUAUACCUCCUUACCUUUCUAUAAAUUAACUCAUCCUCAAACAUAAAUUUUUUUUUUUAUCCUAACUCUCUUACCCUAUCCCUUGGUUACCUUUGUUAUCAUUCCAUCAUUUAACUUCGCUCACUUCAUCCAAACAUACCAAACCGACCCUAAAUGUACACCUUGAUAAACAUAAAAAAUCAUCAACUCAAUUCAACUCAAUUAAACAUUUACUCACACUUUAUCCUCUCUAGAUGAUUUUGGGUUAAAUGUCAACCUCACUGAAACCGAAGGCACACAAACUGAAUUAGUUUUACUUUUAUUUGAUUAAUCUUUUAAAGAAACAGCUUAUCCAUACCAAAAUGAUCCACUACGUUCGGUUAACUGGAGGAUUUGAUUCCUACGGCCCCAGACUAGUCAAAAUUCUAAAUUUUAAAUUCUUUUUGCCUACCUUCUUCCUUGGGAAAAGAAUCAAAGCUUUACCGAAGAUCCUUCCUGAAAAUGGCAAAACCAUGAGAUAUUAGAGAGAUGUAGUGUGAAAGAACCAGACAAUAUUCAGGGACAAAAACAAAAAUUAUGCUUCGUUUUUCAAAAAACCGAGGGGAACAAAACCCAAAUCUUCCAUCCUAUCUGCCGAAAAUGAAAGCGUUUCUCUCCUCAUAUGCUAAUCAGAGAGAAACCCAAGAUUCAAACAUAAUAUAUAUCGUUUUACCACUUCAAUUUCCGCAACCAAAUAAAAAAUUUAGGCACAAUAUUAAGGAACAUAAGCAUUUCCAUCAAACAUCAUAUUAUAUAGGGGGAAUAAGAAGAAGAAGAAGAAGACCUCAUAAAACAUAUCCAUUACUUGCAUCUUUGUUGAAAAAGAAACCACUUAUCAGAAUCUAAUCUUCCAAAUCAAGAAACUACCAAAAACCCCCAGAAAUAAAUGGGUUUUCGUUGGUUUUCAAAAGAAAGCAGCCAAGAGCAACAAAAUGGUGAAAAUAAUGAUCUGAAUGGGAAUUUAAGCAUAACCCAGAUCAGAAACGAUAUGAUUCAAGAGAAGUAGCAGCAAAAAGAUUGAGACUUUAAAGAGUUCAUCAAGUUUGCGAGCUUAAAUGAAGUGGAGGCUAAGCGAGAACCAGAUACAACAACUGUUCAAGAAAGAAGUGAUGAGAGGAAAA
Molecule: unclassified non-coding RNA, 2184 nt
Filed under: Hevea brasiliensis (rubber tree)
Lineage: Eukaryota; Viridiplantae; Streptophyta; Magnoliopsida; Malpighiales; Euphorbiaceae
Source: RNAcentral